Molecule: non-coding RNA, 411 nt
Organism: Dermacentor andersoni
Lineage: Eukaryota; Metazoa; Arthropoda; Arachnida; Ixodida; Ixodidae
Source: RefSeq, a predicted model, not a curated record
GCUUCCUAGAAAAAGUUGUACUUGGGAUGAAAAUAAGGAUCGCCGCUGCGGCCAUUAUUCUGGCGUUUGACAUUUACAUUUUUAUCCUGUUGACGCUGACUGCUUUGAUUUUCCUAAUUAUGCUUUCUGUUCAGAUAUUCAUCGUAUACAGGCUGGGACUAUUCGUCAACAACUUACCCAAGUAACCGCAGGAAGCCUUGUUGAGGGGCUGCCUCACAAAUAGCGCUGCACCAUCUCGUACCCGUUACCAAAAGCCAAGAGUUGUCAUCUCAACGAAUAAUUCAGGGGCGCGCAUCGACCUUAUUAUUUCUUUUUUGCUUGCUUCUUUGAGAGGGUGGGGGAGUCUCAUUACGCGGUGACGAGAGCAAUUUAUACAGCCAUUUUUAAAUAAACCUAUUAAUAUAAACAGUG